RNAcentral lists this transfer RNA (88 nucleotides) under Parabacteroides distasonis. Its description in RNAcentral is "tRNA-Ser". It matches the Rfam family "tRNA". Rfam says of the family: Transfer RNA (tRNA) molecules are approximately 80 nucleotides in length. Their secondary structure includes four short double-helical elements and three loops (D, anti-codon, and T loops). RNAcentral also lists the same sequence under 3 other names. The record is from RNAcentral. Lineage: Bacteria; Pseudomonadati; Bacteroidota; Bacteroidia; Bacteroidales; Tannerellaceae.
AGAGAGUUACUCAAGAGGCUUAAGAGGACAGGUUGCUACCUUGUUAGGUCGAAAAAUCGGCGCAUGGGUUCAAAUCCCAUACUCUCUU